This is a non-coding RNA of Lupinus albus (white lupine), 310 nucleotides long. The record is from the annotation of a GenBank genome assembly. Lineage: Eukaryota; Viridiplantae; Streptophyta; Magnoliopsida; Fabales; Fabaceae.
UAGGAGGGGUGCUAUCCUAAGAUCUGCCCAAGUGGCAGAGUCUACAUCAUAAUUUGUUGCUGUGGAGGCCAGCGCUCGCGCGGCCUCUUCAAAGUUGAGUUCAAUAUUUCUUCAACCGUUGGCAAUUGUUUUAACCAUUCUCUUCUUUUCUGUGCCUUUUUUUAGAAUCGCAUGCUAGAAUUUACUCAUAUAUAUUCUUGCCAUUAUUUCGAAACUGUAAUUUAUAGAUGUAAACUAAGUGCAGUUCGGUAAGCUUAGGAUGAAAUUAUUCUGAAACAUUACUGGCAUUUGUAGUUUACAAUGUACGAUU